GCUGACUCUGUUUUCAGACUCACCCUGCCUGCACCCAGGUGAUUAAAAGCUUUAUUGCUCACACAAAGCCUGUUUAGUGUUCUCUUCAUACGGAUGUGCAUGAAAUUUGGUGCCAUGACUCGGAUCGGGGGACCUCCCUUGGGAGAUCAAUCCCCUGUCCUCCUGUUCUUUGCUCUGUGAGAAAGAUCCACCUACGACCUCAGGUCCUCAGACCCACCAGCCCAAGAAACGUCUCACCAAUUUCAAAUCCGGACCCCACUGAAAAUUAGACUGUU
RNAcentral lists this long non-coding RNA (275 nucleotides) under Homo sapiens (human). RNAcentral's name for it is "HSALNT0329229". Lineage: Eukaryota; Metazoa; Chordata; Mammalia; Primates; Hominidae. The record is from RNAcentral.